RNAcentral lists this ribosomal RNA (393 nucleotides) under uncultured bacterium. RNAcentral describes it as "partial 16S ribosomal RNA". It matches the Rfam family "Bacterial small subunit ribosomal RNA", at positions 523 to 918 of the family's 1533-position model. The record is from RNAcentral.
AUACGGAGGAUCCGAGCGUUAUCCGGAUUUAUUGGGUUUAAAGGGUGCGCAGGCGGGAGAUUAAGUCGGCGGUGAAAUUUUGCAGCUCAACUGUAAAAGUGCCUUCGAAACUGGGUUUCUUGAGUGUAGAUGAAGUAGGCGGAAUUUGUGGUGUAGCGGUGAAAUGCAUAGAUAUCACGAGGAACUCCGAUUGCGCAGGCAGCUUACGAAACUACUACUGACGCUCAGGCACGAAGGCGUGGGGAUCAAACAGGAUUAGAUACCCUGGUAGUCCACGCAGUAAACGAUGAUUACUAGAUGUUUGCGAUACAAUGUAAGCGGCUGAGCGAAAGCGUUAAGUAAUCCACCUGGGGAGUACGUUCGCAAGAAUGAAACUCAAAGGAAUUGACGGGG